GCCAAGGCUAAAUACUCCCUGGCGACCGAUAGUGAAGCAGUACCGUGAGGGAAAGGUGAAAAGCACCCCGGAAGGGGAGUGAAAUAGAUCCUGAAACCGUGUGCUUACAAGAAGUCAGAGCCCGAUCGAUGGGUGAUGGCGUGCCUUUUGUAGAAUGAACCGGCGAGUUACGUUCCCGUGCAAGGUUAAGGUGAAGAGCUGAAGCCGCAGCGAAAGCGAGUCUGAAUAGGGCGA
RNAcentral lists this ribosomal RNA (234 nucleotides) under Paenibacillus polymyxa. RNAcentral describes it as "partial 23S ribosomal RNA". It matches the Rfam family "Bacterial large subunit ribosomal RNA", at positions 459 to 695 of the family's 2925-position model. The record is from RNAcentral. Lineage: Bacteria; Bacillati; Bacillota; Bacilli; Caryophanales; Paenibacillaceae.